CCUACGGGAGGCAGCAGUGGGGAAUAUUGCACAAUGGGGGAAACCCUGAUGCAGCGACGCCGCGUGAGUGAGGAAGUAUUUCGGUAUGUAAAGCUCUAUCAGCAGGGAAGAAAAUGACGGUACCUGACUAAGAAGCACCGGCUAAAUACGUGCCAGCAGCCGCGGUAAUACGUAGGGGGCAAGCGUUAUCCGGAUUUACUGGGGGGAAAGGGAGCGUAGACGGCUAAGCAAGUCAGAAGGGAAAACCCAGGGGUCAAAUUUGGGACUGCUUUUGAAACUGAGUAGCUAGAGUGCAGGAGAGGGGAGCGGAAUUCCAAGUGUAGCGGUGAAAUGCGUAGAUAUUAGGAGGAACACCAGUGGCGAAGGCGGCUUACUGGACUGUAACUGACGUUGAGGCUCGAAAGCGUGGGGAGCAAACAGGAUUAGAUACCCGUGUAGUC
This 440-nucleotide ribosomal RNA is filed under the name uncultured bacterium. RNAcentral's name for it is "partial 16S ribosomal RNA". It matches the Rfam family "Bacterial small subunit ribosomal RNA", at positions 338 to 795 of the family's 1533-position model. The record is from RNAcentral.